GUGGGGAAUAUUGGACAAUGGGCGAAAGCCUGAUCCAGCCAUGCCGCGUGUGUGAAGAAGGUCUUCGGAUUGUAAAGCACUUUAAGUUGGGAGGAAGGGCAGUAAGUUAAUACCUUGCUGUUUUGACGUUACCAACAGAAUAAGCACCGGCUAACUUCGUGCCAGCAGCCGCGGUAAUACGAAGGGUGCAAGCGUUAAUCGGAAUUACUGGGCGUAAAGCGCGCGUAGGUGGUUCAGCCAGUUGGAGGUGAAAUCCCCGGGCUCAACCUGGGAACUGGCUCCAAAACUGCAAGACUAGAGUACGGUAGAGGGUAGUGGAAGUUCCUGUGUAGCGGUGAAAUGCGUAGAUAUAGGCAGGAACACCAGUGGCGAAGGCGACUACCUGGACUGAUACUGACACUGAGGUGCGGAAGCGUGGGGAGCAAACAGGAUUAGAAACCCUUGUAGUCC
RNAcentral lists this ribosomal RNA (450 nucleotides) under uncultured bacterium. RNAcentral describes it as "bacterial SSU rRNA". It matches the Rfam family "Bacterial small subunit ribosomal RNA", at positions 354 to 796 of the family's 1533-position model. The record is from RNAcentral.